This 301-nucleotide ribosomal RNA is filed under the name uncultured bacterium. RNAcentral describes it as "partial 16S ribosomal RNA". It matches the Rfam family "Bacterial small subunit ribosomal RNA", at positions 509 to 807 of the family's 1533-position model. The record is from RNAcentral.
CAGCAGCCGCGGUAAUACGUAGGGUGCGAGCGUUAAUCGGAAUUACUGGGCGUAAAGCGUGCGCAGGCGGUUCGUUAAGUCUGCUGUGAAAUCCCCGGGCUCAACCUGGGAAUGGCAGUGGAUACUGGCAAGCUAGAGUGUGUCAGAGGAUGGUGGAAUUCCCGGUGUAGCGGUGAAAUGCGUAGAGAUCGGGAGGAACAUCAGUGGCGAAGGCGGCCAUCUGGGACAACACUGACGCUGAGGCACGAAAGCGUGGGGAGCAAACAGGAUUAGAUACCCGUGUAGUCCCUGUCUCUUAUAC